Molecule: ribosomal RNA, 756 nt
Filed under: Weissella hellenica
Lineage: Bacteria; Bacillati; Bacillota; Bacilli; Lactobacillales; Lactobacillaceae
Description: bacterial SSU rRNA
Rfam family: Bacterial small subunit ribosomal RNA
Source: RNAcentral
UAAUACAUGCAAGUCGAACGCUUUGUGCUUAAUUGAUAUGACGAGCUUGCUCUGAUUUGAUUUUUUGAUUUCAAAGAGUGGCGAACGGGUGAGUAACACGUGGGUAACCUACCUCUUAGCAGGGGAUAACAUUUGGAAACAAGUGCUAAUACCGUAUAAUACCAACAACCGCAUGGUUGUUGGUUGAAAGAUGGUUCUGCUAUCACUAAGAGAUGGACCCGCGGUGCAUUAGCUAGUUGGUAAGGUAAUGGCUUACCAAGGCAAUGAUGCAUAGCCGAGUUGAGAGACUGAUCGGCCACAAUGGGACUGAGACACGGCCCAUACUCCUACGGGAGGCAGCAGUAGGGAAUCUUCCACAAUGGGCGCAAGCCUGAUGGAGCAACGCCGCGUGUGUGAUGAAGGGUUUCGGCUCGUAAAACACUGUUAUAAGAGAAGAACGGCACUGAGAGUAACUGUUCAGUGUGUGACGGUAUCUUACCAGAAAGGAACGGCUAAAUACGUGCCAGCAGCCGCGGUAAUACGUAUGUUCCAAGCGUUAUCCGGAUUUAUUGGGCGUAAAGCGAGCGCAGACGGUUAUUUAAGUCUGAAGUGAAAGCCCUCAGCUCAACUGAGGAAUUGCUUUGGAAACUGGAUGACUUGAGUGCAGUAGAGGAAAGUGGAACUCCAUGUGUAGCGGUGAAAUGCGUAGAUAUAUGGAAGAACACCAGUGGCGAAGGCGGCUUUCUGGACUGUAACUGACGUUGAGGCUCGAAAGUG